RNAcentral lists this ribosomal RNA (523 nucleotides) under uncultured Glomus. Its description in RNAcentral is "SSU rRNA". It matches the Rfam family "Eukaryotic small subunit ribosomal RNA", at positions 569 to 1093 of the family's 1831-position model. Lineage: Eukaryota; Fungi; Glomeromycota; Glomeromycetes; Glomerales; Glomeraceae. The record is from RNAcentral.
AGCAGCCGCGGUAAUUCCAGCUCCAAUAGCGUAUAUUAAAGUUGUUGCAGUUAAAAAGCUCGUAGUUGAAUUUCGGGGUUAGUAGGCUGGUCGUGCCACAGGUAUGCACUGGUCUUACUGAUUCCUCCUUCCUGAUGAACCGUAAUGCCAUUAAUUUGGUGUUGCGGGGAGUCUGGACUGUUACUUUGAAAAAAUUAGAGUGUUUAAAGCAGGCUAACGCUUGAAUACAUUAGCAUGGAAUAACGAAAUAGGACGUUCGAUCCUAUUUUGUUGGUUUCUAGGAUUGACGUAAUGAUUAAUAGGGAUAGUUGGGGGCAUUAGUAUUCAAUUGUCAGAGGUGAAAUUCUUGGAUUUAUUGAAGACUAACUACUGCGAAAGCAUUUGCCAAGGAUGUUUUCAUUAAUCAAGAACGAAAGUUAGGGGAUCGAAGACGAUCAGAUACCGUCGUAGUCUUAACCAUAAACUAUGCCGACUAGGGAUCGGAUGAUGUUAAUUUUUUAAUGGCUCAUUCGGCGCCUUACGG